RNAcentral lists this long non-coding RNA (1251 nucleotides) under Ananas comosus (pineapple). Its description in RNAcentral is "long non-coding RNA (ACOM_LNC032812)". Lineage: Eukaryota; Viridiplantae; Streptophyta; Magnoliopsida; Poales; Bromeliaceae. The record is from RNAcentral.
AAAAUAUAAAAUAUCAAAUUUUAAAUUUCAAAAAUUUAAAAUAUCAAAAUUUAAAUUUAAAAUUAUAAACUUUAAUUUUGAUAUUACAAAUUAUAAAUUUUAAAUUUUUAAAUUUUUAAAUUUUUAAAAUAAGAAUAGGGGUGGGAAUAAUUAAUAAAAAUAAUUUAUUAUAAUAAAUUUAUAAAUUUUUUUAAAAUUCUACUUAAGCUUAAAUUUAAUACAAAGAAUUUAUUAUAAUAUUUAAAUAUAAAUAAUAUGUAUUAAUAUAGUACAAUUAAUAAUUUUAUAAUAAAAGUAAUGUAUUAUAAUAUGUAACAUAUUAUAUUUAUAUAAUUUAGUUUUAAUUCAAUUUAUAAUUUUAAUUAAGUUUGAAAUUAAGCAUUGGAAUAGCACUAUUUCACUAAAAUGGUGGAAUAGUAAAUUCUUUGUUAUUCCUGGAUAAUUAAAAAUAGUAAAAUUUGACUGGAAUAAAAUAUUUUGAUAAAAUAUCACUACGUUUAGCGAAAUAGCGGGAAUAAUUUUCGUUAUCCCGCUUAUUUCUCAAACCAAACGGGACCAUAUAUAGAGAUUGUCAGACCUAUUUGCCAAUUUUGACGUAGAAACUGAAAAUUCAUUAGAUUUAACCAAUCGAGGGUUUAAACGAGUAUAUAUAUAUAGAGAGAGAAAGAGAGAGAGAGAGAUAGAAUGAGGCUACUAUGCUUCUGGAAGCAUAGAGCCUUCCGUGUUUUCAGGUUGUUUUCGAUGUUGCGACUUUCGAAUCGUCGAUGGUUCCGUUAAACUUGAUCUAGAGUAUUUGAAUUACUUAGAAAAUAAAUUUUAUGAUUUUUCGAUAUCAUUUGCCUAGUGAUCGAAGGGACUCAAAAUCAAUAAUUUUAAUGGCCGUGGUGAGCCGUUUGUAAGUUUAACGGUGUAGAAAUAUCCAAAUCACGUGAAAUUUUGAUAGAAAAUUCUUUAUAUUAUAUAAAACAAGAUCAAUAUCUUUUAUCUAAAAUUUUAAUGUCAUAUUAUCACGUUUUGUAUGAUUUUUAUUUUCAGUCGUUGAUUUUGAACUCUUUAGUUCACAAGGCAAAUGAUAUCGAAAAAUUGCAAAAUUUAUUUUCUAGGUACUCCAAAUACUCUAGAUCAAGUUUAACGGAGCCGAUCGACGAUUCGAAAGUCGCAACAUUGAAAACGAGCUGGAAGCACGGAAGGCUCCGUGCUUCCGACAGCAUAGUAGCCUCACUCUAUAUAUAUAUAUGAUGUUGCGACUUU